Prunus avium (sweet cherry) is the source of this 780-nucleotide non-coding RNA. NCBI's taxonomy places the organism in Eukaryota, Viridiplantae, Streptophyta, Magnoliopsida, Rosales, Rosaceae. The record is from RefSeq and is a predicted model, not a curated record.
UAAUGAAUGUUUCAUAAAUGCCCAAAUUAUCCUCGUAGGCUUUUACAAAUGACAUCUAGUGUCCUCUUCACUUUUGCUGAACCCUCCGUCCUCUUCCCUCACGAUCAGUACUCAAUUAUUCUUCUUCUUCAUCUUGUUCUUUUUUUUUUUUCUUCUCAUCUUCUCUUCACACCUUUUUCUUGAAUUUGUCUCCACGAUUCCUGCUACCUAGAUCUAAGGUUGUAUUCUCAAACAAGGUUUUAUUCCGCAUCACCCUCAGGUCAGGUUGCUAUAAAUUUAUUGGUUUUGUUGGAUCACUAGUGUAUUUUCUUUACUCUCUUUCUGGGUUUCAAUGGAAUGCUAUGAAUUGAUUUUAUAAAAACAGAAAAGGAAAAAAAAAAAGGAGGGGGGGGGGAACUCAUCCUACCUUCUGGGUUCUAAUGAAUGAGCCACAUAUCGUAUCUGGAAAGAGGGGGCUCAUCAUACCUUCUUGAAAGAGGAUAAUUGAAAACAUCAUCAAUCUAUACUCUUUUAAUUUCUAAAUUUACUUAUUAAUUGUAUCUCCCUGUUUUUUUUGGAUCUUUCUUUCUGGGUUUCAAUAAAAUGCUAUAUUAAUUGACAAAAACAAAAACAAGGCAGUAUGUGCACACAUAGCGCAUCUGGAAAGUGAUAAUGAGGGGUCAAAGUGAAUUGGACAUUAAUUGGCAAUUGGUUGUUGUGUUGGCCAUGGAUAAAGAGGCAAGGAGGACAUUGAAUACUAGCAGCAUGAUGGGAAGAUUUUGAGUUAUUAUUAUAUCCAUA